GAUCCUCCAUCAGGGAUGGCUUUACCUUAGGCAGGCAAAACAACUUGGCAGGUGGGCCGUGGCUCCCCAGAUUAUCCCUGCCUUGUGCCCAGUGCCUGCUGGCAUGGACUCCUCUUCCACAAGACCUGGCACUGAAUAAGCAAGUUCAGAGGAUGGCUGGAAACUCCUCCUGUAAUAAUUGGGGAUCUCAGAUCUAAACAAGGAGAUCUGGAUGACAGGAGUUGUAGUCCAUUUCAUUGACUUCUGGGGGCGGGGCCUACAGCUGCAGCGUCAGUGGGCCCUGUGGCCCCCCAUUUCAGCAUACAGAGAACAAGCUAAAAGACCCUGCAAGGAAUACCAAGGACUUUGUAAAAAUGUUACACAGACACAGUAGCACAACACAGAGAGAGAGAGACGACAAAGCCGUGUGCCAUGAUUAGGAAUCACAAACACAAUGAAACCCGUGUGAGGCCUCCAGAAAUCAUUAUAAAGCAGGCCAGGACCUUCACUGCUCAGCCCUGAAGAGACUCGCUCCAGACCAGCUUGCCUGAAAAAUAUACCUGCAGGCUUCAGCCCUGGCUAGGCCCAAAAUGGGGAAAACUGGCUUAAUAGUUUCAAAUAUUACAAAAAACGUAAUGGAAUAUAGUAAUAAACCUAACAAGGAAGAGGAUGAAUGACUGUGAGCCCCCAGCUUGUGCACAAAAAGACAAAAUAAGGAUUUACUUAACAAAGCUGAAAAAUACAGCCAAAUAUUCAGAAAAGUAUUAAAGGAGUUGCCUUAAAGGUCCCAAGAAACACAACCCAAAAAUAACAUCCUGGACCAUCCGCAGAAAAUAAUCAAAAACCAGAGAAUUCCACACAAAGCUACCAGUACUCGUCAACACUGCACACAAAUGCAAUGAUCUCCUACUCCUGAGCCUUCUCAGCUGAUGUGCAUAACCAGGGGGAGGUGACAUCAGACCAGCCCCGCCUCCUUUACAUUUACAGUACACAAUGAGUAAAUCAUAGACAAACGUGAGAGACAUUACAUCAAAACAUGUAAAUGAACAAUUUAAAAACACAGAAACCAACAAUAGUGCAUAACAGACGAGGCAAAAAGGGAUGGAGGCCAUCUAAAAGUCCCAAAACAGCAGGCCGGGACCUUCGCCAACCUGCCCAGAUGUGGACUUAACCUUGGCAGUCAGCCAACCUGUGCAAACCCCAAUUAGGAAACGAGCUUUUAAAGUUCAAAAUGCACUCAAAGUCCGAAAACAUCUUAGAUGGGAGAGAAGACUGUAAACACAACUCCAAUGGAAAUCUCUAGAAAGUGAGGAUUUAUUAACAAAAAAAAAUUAGAAACAGAAGACAAAAGGCAGCUAAGAAUUGUGAGGAGAGCAGAAACAAAGAACCUCGAGACGGGAGCCAACACGUGGAAAGCGAUGUUCACCAAACGCCUUGAGGUCUGCAGCAGUCGAUGGGCCCCAAUAAACUGCCAUAAAUAGGAGGUGGGCGGGCCUGCACCUGUGAUGUCAGAGGGCCCCACCUCUUCAGGUCUAACUGCCAUAUAUAGGAGGUGGGUGGGCCUGCACCUGUGAUGUCCCACCCACAAAACACAAGUGAGGGCUGCACAUUUAAAGAUCUUGAAUGCGAUGAAUUAUUGAGAAAGAAACACAACACUGGCAAAGUCUCGGCCCCAACAAAGUCACCGGACACAGCAGUUGUGGACAGAAGAAGUCCAGGGUAGACACCCCAUGAGGGUCUCGUUAUCCUCCCAGCACUUCAGACUUCCUUAUCUGAGUGACGGCCACACAUCUUUGGACGCCGAGCCCUAAAAUAUGGAACGAUUACAGCUUAAGACUUGCUGACUCCCUUGGCACCAGUGCACUGUGGGUAUUCACUUGAGUGGCACCGACUGUGCUCUUCAGAAGGUGGCACUGGCCACCUCUCUCCUGCAGGACACUGGGGGGGGGUGCUGCUGUCCCCAUCCUGUCAUGUUCUGUGAUGGCGCCAGGUCACUCGCUGAACGAGCCACUCACCUGCUGGAGGUCACUCUGUACAGCAGCUGGACCUUGUGGUGGUCAUUUGGAUGAAACUUUCUACGUUCUGUCAUCUAAAUAAAUGUGAGUUUAGAAUUUCA
Molecule: long non-coding RNA, 2095 nt
Organism: Polypterus senegalus (gray bichir)
Lineage: Eukaryota; Metazoa; Chordata; Cladistia; Polypteriformes; Polypteridae
Exons: 2
Source: RefSeq, a predicted model, not a curated record